ACGCUGAAUGAGAUCGGCGUCGAAACAGGAAAAUCUUAUUUGAAAGCAAACGGCAUUGAUAUCCCUGAUGAAGGCC
This 76-nucleotide transfer RNA is filed under the name Bacillus subtilis subsp. subtilis str. BSP1. RNAcentral's name for it is "tRNA-Lys". Lineage: Bacteria; Bacillati; Bacillota; Bacilli; Caryophanales; Bacillaceae. The record is from RNAcentral.